This 498-nucleotide ribosomal RNA is filed under the name uncultured bacterium. Its description in RNAcentral is "partial 16S ribosomal RNA". It matches the Rfam family "Bacterial small subunit ribosomal RNA", at positions 30 to 523 of the family's 1533-position model. The record is from RNAcentral.
AUUGAACGCUGGCGGCAUGCCUUACACAUGCAAGUCGAACGGCAACAGGUCUUCGGAUGCUGACGAGUGGCGAACGGGUGAGUAAUAUAUCGGAACGUGCCCAGUCGUGGGGGAUAACGCAGCGAAAGCUGUGCUAAUACCGCAUACGAUCUAUGGAUGAAAGCGGGGGAUCGCAAGACCUCGCGCGAUUGGAGCGGCCGAUAUCAGAUUAGGUAGUUGGUGGGGUAAAGGCCUACCAAGCCAACGAUCUGUAGCUGGUCUGAGAGGACGACCAGGCACACUGGAACUGGGACACGGUCCAGACUCCUACGGGAGGCAGCAGUGGGGAAUUUUGGACAAUGGGCGCAAGCCUGAUCCAGCAAUGCCGCGUGCAGGAUGAAGGCCUUCGGGUUGUAAACUGCUUUUGUACGGAACGAAAAGGCUCUGGUUAAUACCUGGGGCUCAUGACGGUACCGUAAGAAUAAGCACCGGCUAACUACGUGCCAGCCGCCACCGUAA